GUCGUCACUUCCUCAUAUUAUUUCCAACAUGGAGUCCAGCGGUUUGAAGUUGAAUUUCUGGGAGAACGGACCAAAGCCCGGACAGUUUUACUCGUUUCCCGGUGGCAGCAGCGGGCCGGGCACAGCAUGCGGACCCGUCCGACACACACUUAACCCGAUGGUAACUGGACGUCGGUGCUCGGGGUGAAGUUUACUGGUGGCGUGAUCAUUGCGGCCGACAUGUUGGGCUCGUACGGCUCACUGGCUCGCUUCAGGAACGUCUCCCGCCUCAUGAAGGG
This is a non-coding RNA of Labrus bergylta (ballan wrasse), 278 nucleotides long. The record is from RefSeq and is a predicted model, not a curated record. Lineage: Eukaryota; Metazoa; Chordata; Actinopteri; Labriformes; Labridae.